This 1406-nucleotide long non-coding RNA is filed under the name Mustela putorius furo (domestic ferret). RNAcentral's name for it is "lncRNA (ENSMPUG00000028818.1)". The record is from RNAcentral. Lineage: Eukaryota; Metazoa; Chordata; Mammalia; Carnivora; Mustelidae.
CCAGGGAUGACUGUAACACAUACUCUCUAGUUGGUUGCUCUCUGUGCUUCCAGAGAAGGAUCGAGUUAGGAAAAAAAUAGAGAAAAGGGAAGAAUAACCAAGGUAUAGAAGUUACUUUUGACUUUCCUAGCCAAUCAGCUAACAAGAUCAAGGGGGAAGGUAACCUAUUUACUGGGUGACACCAAAGGAAUUCUGGGGUUCAAUAACAACACUAAUUGCCUAGAGGAAGCAGAUGUGGAUUCAGAGACAGGCCUAUGGUCACCCUAUGACUUCUCACCACAGAAUAGGGAUGUGUUCUCCAAUUCACGUGUCCCAGCUAAGGAAAAGCAACGCAGUGGGAAGAAGAGCUUGAGUUCACAGCCUGGCAGAGUAUGUGUGAACGCCCGUCACGGUAGGACCCAGGAGAAACCCCAACCUUCCUGGACCUCGAUUUCCUCAUCUGUAGAACUGGGAAAGGACUACAGAUUUGCCAGAUUUUGAGCUCUUGAAACAAAAGAUGUCUGGCCUACCAGAUUCAGAACUAUGACCAGUGCUUGUUGAAUGAAUGCCUCUGGGAGACCUGAUCCUGGGUAAACAGCUGUGCCAUUCCUCUAUUCUGGGAGUUCACAGCUAGCAGCAACAUCCCAAGUAUGGCCUUGACCUGCAGGAUGCAGUAAUGAGCAUGUGAGUAUGUGUGUGCUUUGGGGGGAAGUGUGAGGGAGUGUCCAGUGAGGGCUGGACUCCUAGCCAUUUCCCUUGGGCUGGCCAACAGGAUCUUGUAUCAUCUGUCUGCUCUCUGGGGGAACAAACUUUAAAGCAACAUGUGAUCCUGGACUGGUCACUUCCUUCAGGUCUCUACCAUUAUUGCCUCACUUUCUUCUUUUGAUAGUUUUAACAAAAAGAUGUGACUUACCAUACUAGAAGGGACUACUAUCUUUUCAGAGGAGUUGCUUCAGUUUCUUGCUUGGCCACAACCAAAAGAAGUCUGGGGAGUUGCUGCCAAGGAUGGAAUCAAGGAUUUCCAAGAGUGUUCAAUAGCAUUUCCAAAGGCUUUGUGUUGGUUCUUAGGAUUAAAUUAAUAAUCUUUAUUAGUGACGGCAGUAGGUGUUAUUUCACAGAUAGUCUCUAUGCAAGGGUUGUUUUUAGGUGUCUGAGUGGCUCAGUUGGUUAAUCAUCUAACUUGGGCUCAGGUCAUGAUCUCAGGGUCCCUGCAUUGGGCUCUGAGCUCAGCAGGGAGUUUGCUUCUCCCUCCCUGUCCCAAGUAUGGCCUUGGCCUCCAGGAUGCAGUAAUGAGAUGUGAGUGUGUGCUCUUUCUCAAAUACACAAAUAAAAAUCUUUAAAAAAAAAAAAAAAGAAGAAGAAGAAGAAGAAAAUAACCUCAAAACAAUAGUGUUUUCAAAAACUUAACACGUGCCUGCAAAGAAUUA